Molecule: long non-coding RNA, 297 nt
Organism: Symsagittifera roscoffensis
Lineage: Eukaryota; Metazoa; Xenacoelomorpha; Acoela; Convolutidae
Exons: 3
Source: RefSeq, a predicted model, not a curated record
UAUCUUCGUCGUCCUCUUCCUAGCCCUCUUCAUUUAUACACUACCUGGGAACAUGCUGAAUGCUAUCAUGAAUGCUAUCAUCUGAUUGGCCAGUUCUCAUCGCAUUCGCUCUCUCUUGCCCAAUCAGAAUCAAAUAUGCCAAACAGCACCUCUGACUCAUCAAAUAAGCCCUAUUGGGCUGAAAUCAACCUGUAUCAUUUAAUUGCAAGCCUUCAUGAACUGGCUGUUCAGCUGAUCAACAGACCCCUUAGACGAACAUUUUGGAUUUAUGAAGUGCUCAUUUUACUAUAACUAAAG